GAUGAAGAACGCAGUGAAAUGCGAUAAGUAAUGUGAAUUGCAGAAUUCAGUGAAUCAUCGAAUCUUUGAACGCACAUUGCGCCCGCCAGUAUUCUGGCGGGCAUGCCUGUUCGAGCGUCAUUACAACCCUCAGGCCCCCGGGCCUGGCGUUGGGGAUCGGCGGAAGCCCCCUGCGGGCACAACGCCGUCCCCCAAAUACAGUGGCGGUCCCGCCGCAGCUUCCAUUGCGUAGUAGCUAACACCUCGCAACUGGAGAGCGGCGCGGCCACGCCGUAAAACACCCAACUUCUGAAUGUUGACCUCGAAUCAGGUAGGAAUACCCGCUGAACUUAAGAAUAUCAAUAAGCGGAGGA
RNAcentral lists this unclassified non-coding RNA (353 nucleotides) under soil metagenome. RNAcentral's name for it is "partial contains 5.8S ribosomal RNA, internal transcribed spacer 2, and large subunit ribosomal RNA". The stretch from base 1 to 120 matches the Rfam family "5.8S ribosomal RNA", at positions 35 to 154 of the family's 154-position model. The record is from RNAcentral.